Molecule: long non-coding RNA, 627 nt
Filed under: Micromonas commoda
Lineage: Eukaryota; Viridiplantae; Chlorophyta; Mamiellophyceae; Mamiellales; Mamiellaceae
Description: long non-coding RNA (MCOM_LNC000146)
Source: RNAcentral
UGCCCGAGGUGAUCAUCGUCGACGAGAUCGGCACGGAGGAGGAGGCCAUCGCGUGCAGGACCAUCGCGGAGCGCGGUGUCCAGCUCGUGGGCACCGCUCACGGUCAGCUCCUGGAGAAUCUCAUCAAGAACCCCACGCUGACGGACCUCGUCGGCGGCGUGCAGUCGGUGACGCUGGGCGACGACGAGGCGCGCGCGAGGGGGUGCCAGAAGACCAUCAUGGAGCGCCAGGCGCCGCCCACGUUCCCCAUCCUCAUCGAGAUGCACGAGCGUUCGAUGUGGGUCGCUCACAACGUCGAGGAGAGCGUCGACGAGGUGCUCGCGGGCGGCAGGCCGAUGGUGCAGGUGCGCUCCAGGGACCAGAACACCGGCCAGGUUCGCUUCAACCGCACGGUGUACGACAUGGACGUCUUCCUGUCCCAGAAGAACGUCGCCUACACCCUCGGGUCCAUGGGCGGUCUCAUGGGUGCCACCGCCGACCUGGCCGAGGCGAGGAGUUUCGGGCUCGCGGAGGAGGGCAUGGCCAACAACGCCGUCGCCAAUGGCUGGUCGCCGUCCGACUACCCGGGAACAAACGACUCCAUCGACGACCCGUACGCGUGGGCGAAUAACCUCGGUAUGGUUCCGG